Molecule: ribosomal RNA, 799 nt
Filed under: uncultured marine bacterium
Lineage: Bacteria
Description: bacterial SSU rRNA
Rfam family: Bacterial small subunit ribosomal RNA
Source: RNAcentral
AAGUCGUGCGAGAAAGUAUCUUCGGAUAUGAGUAGAGCGGCGGACGGGUGAGUAACGCGUAGGAAUCUACCUAGUAGAAGGGGAUAGCCCGGGGAAACCCGGAUUAAUACCGUAUACCUCCUUCGGGAGAAAGAAGGCCUCUCUUUGAAGCUUUCGCUACUAGAUGAGCCUGCGUAAGAUUAGCUUGUUGGUGAGGUAAAGGCUCACCAAGGCGACGAUCUUUAGCUGGUCUGAGAGGACGAUCAGCCACAUUGGGACUGAGACACGGCCCAGACUCCUACGGGAGGCAGCAGUGGGGAAUAUUGGACAAUGGGCGCAAGCCUGAUCCAGCCAUACCGCGUGUGUGAAGAAGGCCUUCGGGUUGUAAAGCACUUUAAGCAGGGAGAAAAAGUUAUAAGUUAAUACCUUAUAACCCUGAUGUUACCUGCAGAAUAAGCACCGGCUAAUUCCGUGCCAGCAGCCGCGGUAAUACGGAAGGUGCAAGCGUUAAUCGGAAUUACUGGGCGUAAAGCGCGCGUAGGUGGUUUGUUAAGUUGGAUGUGAAAGCCCUGGGCUCAACCUAGGAACUGCAUCCAAAACUAACUCACUAGAGUACGAUAGAGGGAGGUAGAAUUCAUAGUGUAGCGGUGGAAUGCGUAGAUAUUAUGAAGAAUACCAGUGGCGAAGGCGGCCUCCUGAUUUGUACUGACACUGAGGUGCGAAAGCGUGGGUAGCGAACAGGAUUAGAUACCCUGGUAGUCCACGCCGUAACGAUGACAACUAGCUGUUGGGAGACUAUGUCUUUCAGUGGCGCAGCUAA